RNAcentral lists this ribosomal RNA (491 nucleotides) under uncultured bacterium. RNAcentral describes it as "partial 16S ribosomal RNA". It matches the Rfam family "Bacterial small subunit ribosomal RNA", at positions 29 to 506 of the family's 1533-position model. The record is from RNAcentral.
AGUGAGCGCUGGCGGUAGGCCUAACACAUGCCAGUCGAACGGCAGCACAGUAAGAGCUUGCUCUUACGGGUGGCGAGUGGCGGACGGGUGAGGAAUACAUCGGAAUCUACUUAUUCGUGGGGGAUAACGUAGGGAAACUUACGCUAAUACCGCAUACGACCUACGGGUGAAAGCAGGGGAUCUUCGGACCUUGCGCGAUUGAAUGAGCCGAUGUCGGAUUAGCUAGUUGGCGGGGUAAAGGCCCACCAAGGCGACGAUCCGUAGCUGGUCUGAGAGGAUGAUCAGCACAACUGGAACUAAGAAACGGUCCAGCCUCCUACGGGAGGCAGCAGUGGGGAAUAUGGGACAAUGGGCGCAAGCCUGAUCCAGCCAUCCCGCGUGGGUGAAGAAGGCCUUCGGGUUGUAAAGCCCUUUUUUUGGGAAAGAAAAGCAGCAGGUUAAUACCCCGCUGUUCUGACGGAACCCAAAGAAUAAGCACCGGCUAACUUCGG